RNAcentral lists this non-coding RNA (109 nucleotides) under [Eubacterium] infirmum. RNAcentral's name for it is "Eubacterium infirmum SAM-I sequence". It matches the Rfam family "SAM riboswitch aptamer (S box leader)". From Rfam's summary of the family: The SAM riboswitch is found upstream of a number of genes which code for proteins involved in methionine or cysteine biosynthesis in Gram-positive bacteria. The SAM riboswitch acts at the level of transcription termination control. RNAcentral also lists the same sequence under 1 other name. The record is from RNAcentral. Lineage: Bacteria; Bacillati; Bacillota; Clostridia; Peptostreptococcales; Anaerovoracaceae.
UCCUUAUCAAGAGCGGCGGAGGGAAUAGGCCCUGCGAUGCCCGGCAACCUAUGUGCUGAUAGGCACGGAAAGGUGCUACAUCCUACAGAUAUAUUCUGAAAGAUGAGGA